AGAGUUUGAUCAUGGCUCAGAUUGAACGCUGGCGGCAUGCCUUACACAUGCAAGUCGAACGGCAGCGCGGGCUUCGGCCUGGCGGCGAGUGGCGAACGGGUGAGUAAUAUAUCGGAACGUGCCCAAGAGUGGGGGAUAACUAGUCGAAAGAUUAGCUAAUACCGCAUACGAUCUACGGAUGAAAGUGGGGGAUCGCAAGACCUCAUGCUCCUGGAGCGGCCGAUAUCUGAUUAGCUAGUUGGUGGGGUAAAGGCCUACCAAGGCGACGAUCAGUAGCUGGUCUGAGAGGACGACCAGCCACACUGGGACUGAGACACGGCCCAGACUCCUACGGGAGGCAGCAGUGGGGAAUUUUGGACAAUGGGGGCAACCCUGAUCCAGCAAUGCCGCGUGUGUGAAGAAGGCCUUCGGGUUGUAAAGCACUUUUGUCAGGGAAGAAACGGUGAGGGCUAAUAUCCCUUGCUAAUGACGGUACCUGAAGAAUAAGCACCGGCUAACUACGUGCCAGCAGCCGCGGUAAUACGUAGGGUGCAAGCGUUAAUCGGAAUUACUGGGCGUAAAGCGUGCGCAGGCGGUUGUGUAAGUCAGAUGUGAAAUCCCCGGGCUCAACC
Molecule: ribosomal RNA, 611 nt
Filed under: uncultured Herbaspirillum sp.
Lineage: Bacteria; Pseudomonadati; Pseudomonadota; Betaproteobacteria; Burkholderiales; Oxalobacteraceae
Description: bacterial SSU rRNA
Rfam family: Bacterial small subunit ribosomal RNA
Source: RNAcentral